GACAGUGGAAGUUGAACACUGCUUCCACGUGCUCCUGAACUAAAAAUGGGGUCUGGACAGUCCAACAGAGGUCCUGGCUAUGGAGGAGGGUUCCAUUCUUACCUGUUGCUCUACAAUGUACAGCUGAUGUUUUACAAUAAAAACAUGGAGUCAUGCUAACUCCCACAUGCCCUACCAUUCACUCUCCCCAAGCCAGUAACAAAGCAGGCAACGCAGCUAAUAUAAUAUUUAGACUAACCGUGAAGAAAAAGAUCUUUCUCCCUUCUGUACUCUGAAUAAAUAAAUUAGUCUGACCAAAUGAAGAAA
This 306-nucleotide long non-coding RNA is filed under the name Homo sapiens (human). Its description in RNAcentral is "HSALNT0376177". The record is from RNAcentral. Lineage: Eukaryota; Metazoa; Chordata; Mammalia; Primates; Hominidae.